UACAGAGGGGGCAAGCGUUAUUCGGAAUUAUUGGGCGUAAAGGGCGCGUAGGCGGCUUGGCAAGUGGAUGGUGAAAUCCCUCGGCUUAACCGAGGAACUGCCGUCCAAACUGCUUAGCUUGAGACCGGGAGAGGUGAGUGGAAUUCCCAGUGUAGCGGUGAAAUGCGUAGAUAUUGGGAGGAACACCAGUGGCGAAGGCGGCUCACUGGACCGGUACUGACGCUGAGGCGCGAAAGCGUGGGGAGCAACCAGG
This 253-nucleotide ribosomal RNA is filed under the name uncultured bacterium. Its description in RNAcentral is "partial 16S ribosomal RNA". It matches the Rfam family "Bacterial small subunit ribosomal RNA", at positions 524 to 776 of the family's 1533-position model. The record is from RNAcentral.